GGACCCGCACAAGUAGUGGAGCAUGUGGUUUAAUUCGAAGAUACGCGCAGAACCUUACCAACACUUGACAUGUUCGUCGCGACUCUAAGAGAUUAGAGUUUUCGGUUCGGCCGGACGAAACACAGGUGCUGCAUGGCUGUCGUCAGCUCGUGUCGUGAGAUGUUGGGUUAAGUCCCGCAACGAGCGCAACCCUCACUUUUAGUUGCCAUCAUUAAGUUGGGCACUCUGAAAGAACUGCCAGUGAUAAGCUGGAGGAAGGUGGGGAUGACGUCAAGUCCUCAUGGCCCUUACGUGUUGGGCUACACACGUGCUACAAUGGUAUCUACAACAGGAAGCAAGACUGCGAAGUUAAGCAAAUCCCAUAAACCGUGGCUCAGUUCAGAUCGUAGGCUGCAACUCGCCUACAUAAAGAUGGAAUC
RNAcentral lists this ribosomal RNA (419 nucleotides) under uncultured bacterium. RNAcentral describes it as "bacterial SSU rRNA". It matches the Rfam family "Bacterial small subunit ribosomal RNA", at positions 917 to 1333 of the family's 1533-position model. The record is from RNAcentral.